CAACUACUCCCUCUUUCCAGAAUUACUUGUUAAACAAAUGAAUAAAAAUGAAUGUAUCUAGAACUAAAAUACAUCUAUAUACAUUAAUUCUUAUGACAAGUAUUUCCAGACGGAGGGAGUAUGUU
Molecule: non-coding RNA, 125 nt
Organism: Hordeum vulgare subsp. vulgare (domesticated barley)
Lineage: Eukaryota; Viridiplantae; Streptophyta; Magnoliopsida; Poales; Poaceae
Source: Rfam